This 3024-nucleotide long non-coding RNA is filed under the name Brassica napus (rape). RNAcentral describes it as "long non-coding RNA (BNAP_LNC003344)". Lineage: Eukaryota; Viridiplantae; Streptophyta; Magnoliopsida; Brassicales; Brassicaceae. The record is from RNAcentral.
UGGAACUCACGGACUUUGAAGGUGGGACUAAGAAUGGCACACUGCAAGGCACAUCCUCUCGACACACACUCACUAGCAUUCAUUGUACGCCUCGGCUCCUUACCGAAAAACUCAGUCAGGAUCUUGAUAAUAGCAGGGACACGAGAGCCAGAGCCAACAACCUCAACCAUAUGUACAUCUUCAAUUGCGAGCCCCGCGUCAGAGAGAGCUUUCUCCAGAGGCCUCUUGACACGCUCCAAGAUAGGGACGCUGAUCUCUUCAAACUCUUCCCUCUUGAUAACACCCCUAACAUCUUUCUCAUCCAUCAAACACUCAAUAUUCAACGGCGCCACAGGGUUAGCGCUCAGAACCUUCUUCAGCUUCUCACACGCAGCCCUGAGCCUAAGACUAGCCUUGGCAUUCUGCGAGACGUCAAUCUUGUACUCCUCCCUGAACUUGGCGGCAAAAUGAUUAAACAGAACUUCAUCAAAGUCCCUUCCUCCAAGAGACCGGUCAAACCCGUGAGACAAGACCUUGAGCUGCCCUUUCUUAAACCCUGCGAUGCAGACUUGCAUGCUCGCAUGACCAAUGUCGAUGAAGGCCACAUUAAGCGGCUCACUCUCCGGCAAAUCCGUCUUGUAGAUACCAUACGCCAAAGCAGUCGCCGUGGUCUCGUGGAUCAAAUGCAAAGGGUGCAAGCCAGCGAUCGUUGCAGCAUCAAGAACAGCUCUCCGCUGCAGGUCAGUGAAGUAAACAGGAAUACCAAUGCAGCAGUCCACCACAGCUGCGUUCAGAUUCUUCUCAGCAAUACCUUUCAAGUUAGACAACAUCAUCCCCAUAACCUGAGUGGGAGUAAACGCUCUCUUCUCUCCCAAGUAAGAAGCGUGGAUCAAAGGGUACCCGUCUGGUCCCUCCGUGACGGGCCUUGGCCGGCGGUGCUUCCGGUUUGGCAACCGGCUUUGGUUUGGUCAUUAUAGGCCUGCAGAACCUGCCAAAACAAAAUCCAAAAAGAUGGUUCAGUCACUUUCCUACUAACAAGAGAAACAACAAAGUAAGAAGAAGCUAUUGCUUUACUUGUCCAAUGCCUCAGCCUUCCUUGUAACAUCAGCUGACAAGAAAGCUGGUGUUGCGUACUUGGGAAGCGCCUCCUGCUGCUGCUGCUUCUCCCUCAUCCAUGCUUCUGCUUCCACACACUCGUUCAAUACCUUCAUUUGCAUUCCACAACAAUAGAUGAUUAAAACACACACAUCUCCACAUUCUUAUGCAAAAAAAAUAAUCAUGAAAUAUCUCAGAGCUCUUGUAGUUAUUAUACCUUUUGCUUAUCUUCUAGUUCAAUGUGGUCAAACUUGGAAUCAUUAGAGACCGCUGCCUCUCUGUAGCUGUUAACACAGUGACCAAGCUGACCAAUGACUGUCCCUCUCUCCUGUGACUCCUUGUAACGCAUCUCAACUGGGUCACCCACCUAACAAUCAAAGUCCAAUCACCAAGCUCUGUUAAAAUCAUUUUUCUAUUCAAGUAAAAUAGCCAAUCUAUCAUAUGUGUAUAUUACCUUCUUGAGCUCCUCGAGCUUUGCAACAUAGACACCUUUAGUCUCAUCUUCUCCAUCUUCAUACAACCAAUCCUCCACUUCCUGCAGCUUCGCCAGGAACGCUUCUCUCUCUGACUCGAUAAUGUACUCAUGGUAUUUGUCACUCAGCUGAAAAUACAAAAACACAGCAAGUAGCCACCCCUUAUAAAUACAUACUCUCGAUGCAUAUUAAAAAAAGAGAGAAGAAAAGGGUUUACUUACUUUGUUUCUCAUAUCAUAAACAUAGGACUCAACAGCAUUCUUCUUGUCCUUGGUCUCCUCCAUAACUCUGUCUUGGAGAGCCAUCUCAUAUUCUUUCUCCACAGCCUUUUGGACCUCCACAGAUUGCAAGGCGCCGUAUACCAAUUCUGACAGAGGUACGUUUGUUUUCUUCACCUUCUUCUUUGGAGCCUCAGCCUGCACAUACACCAUACCCAUUUGAUUAAAUUUCAAGUUCACGAGUGAAAGAAAAUAGCAAGGACCAUCAGCUCAGUAGAGAAAACUAACCUUUGAAUCAGUUUCCAUUUGCACCGGCUCAGGAACACCGUUGUCAGUACCAGCUGCAUCACUGGUUUCCUUGGCGUCUUGCAUGUUAACAUCAGAUUCACCAGAGGCUUUGUCAGUGUCCAUCUGCUCUGUUGUGACCUUAACUUCAACUUCUUCCUCUUCCAAAAGCUGCAACGAAGGAGAGGAAAAAAAAAUUAGCAUAAACUAAACGAUCUCAAGUUCGCAUUGAAUGAAUGAUCAGUUGGAUGAUAACAACACAAACUUACAGUUGCUGAUUCAACAGAGACAAUUCCGUGAAGGGUCAAUCUCACUUUCACCUUAAGCUUUGCCCUCUCGCCUUUUGAUGACUGGAAGGGACCAAUCUGCAAAAAAGGAGAACAACAAUGAGAAACAAGAGCACGCUACAGUCUUUAAUGAUACACACGACAUUGGGCAAAGGAUCAAACCGUGUAAGUACUGAUUUUUGGAGGUGCUUGCAAGUCAGUGGCAUCACUGUACUGCACAUCGACAGAGAAUGUUCCAGAGCGGUAAAACGUCAGAGCCUUGACACUAGGAAUUGAGUUUCCCUUGGGGAAAACAAUGGUGCUCUGCUGAUUCUCAGCUCCUCCAUUUUGAGCAUCAGCCGCUGCUCCUUUCCACGCCAGCGAAAUGGAGAAGGGGAAACUCUCAUGAACCUUUAUCACAAUUAAUAACAUGACUUGUUAGUACUAUACUAGGCGAUAAACACACAUGUUUAAGCAGAGAUAAGCAUCCAUUACCUGGAACUCACGGACUUUGAAGGUGGGACUAAGAAUGGCACACUGCAAGGCACAUCCUCUCGACACACACUCACUAGCAUUCAUUGUACGCCUCGGCUCCUUACCGAAAAACUCAGUCAGGAUCUUGAUAAUAGCAGGGACACGAGAGCCAGAGCCAACAACCUCAACCAUAUGUACAUCUUCAAUUGCGAGCCCCGCGUCAGAGAGAGCUUU